AAUGAGCGCUGGCGGCAUGCCUAACACAUGCAAGUCGAACGAAGGCUUCGGCCUUAGUGGCGCACGGGUGCGUAACGCGUGGGAAUCUGCCCUUGGGUUCGGAAUAACAGUUAGAAAUGACUGCUAAUACCGGAUGAUGUCGUAAGACCAAAGAUUUAUCGCCCAAGGAUGAGCCCGCGUAGGAUUAGCUAGUUGGCGGGGUAAAGGCCCACCAAGGCGACGAUCCUUAGCUGGUCUGAGAGGAUGAUCAGCCACACUGGGACUGAGACACGGCCCAGACUCCUACGGGAGGCAGCAGUGGUGAAUAUUGGACAAUGGGCGAAAGCCUGAUCCAGCAAUGCCGCGUGAGUGAUGAAGGCCUUAGGGUUGUAAAGCUCUUUUACCCGGGAUGAUAAUGACAGUACCGGGAGAAUAAGCUCCGGCUAACUUCGUGCCAGCAGCCGCCGUAA
This 449-nucleotide ribosomal RNA is filed under the name uncultured bacterium. RNAcentral describes it as "partial 16S ribosomal RNA". It matches the Rfam family "Bacterial small subunit ribosomal RNA", at positions 29 to 523 of the family's 1533-position model. The record is from RNAcentral.